This 304-nucleotide ribosomal RNA is filed under the name uncultured bacterium. RNAcentral describes it as "bacterial SSU rRNA". It matches the Rfam family "Bacterial small subunit ribosomal RNA", at positions 772 to 1074 of the family's 1533-position model. The record is from RNAcentral.
ACUAAAUAGAUACCCCGGUAGUCCACGCCCUAAACGAUGUCUACUAGUUGUUGGUGGAGUAAAUCCAUGAGUAAACGCAGCUAAACGCGUGAAGUAGACCGCCUGGGGAGUACGGUCGCAAGAUUAAAACUCAAAGGAAUUGACGGGGGCCCGCACAAGCGGUGGAUUAUGUGGAUUAAUUCGAUGCAACGCGAAAAACCUUACCUGGCCUUGACAUGCCACUAACGAAGCAGAGAUGCAUUAGGUGCCCGUAAGGGAAUGGACACAGGUGCUGCAUGGCCGUGUCAGCUCGUGUCGUGAGAUG